CCUGAACAAGUAGUUCAAGAGUUUAAGAACAACUUCUCUGAAUGUAAAAUUGCAGGAAUUUCGGGAUUCAUGAUCUACAGCGAAUAAUGUCAUCAAAUGAUUCUGAGAAUCUGGAGAAAUCUCUGCAUAUAAGCACCAAGAACCAAAAACAAAAUUGAAUUCUUGUGAUCCUCAAUCCCUGAAGCGGCACUGAAAUAAAAACAGACUCCACUCUGUUCAGGAUAUUACCAUGUGGGCUCAAGAACACUUCAGAAAACCAUUGUCAAUUAAUACAGUUUGUCGCUACAUCAAGCAGUGCAAGUUCAAACUCUACCAUGCAAAGCCAAAGCCGUAUAUCAACAACAGCCAGAAACACCAUCGGUUUCCCCGGGCCUAAGCUCAUCUGUGAUGGACUGAGGCAAAGUGGAAAAGUGUGCGGUGGUCUACACGUGUUGCAACAGUGUGGCUUUGAAGUAAAAGAGUGGGGGUACUAGACUGGCCUUCCUGCAGUCCAGACCUGUCUCCCACUUAAAAUGUGUGGCACAUUAGGUAGUGCUAAAUAUGACAAUGGAGACCCCAGACUGUUGAACAACUGAAGAUGUACUUACAUUAAGUUUAUCACUUUAUCACAGCAUCAAAUAUCUUGUCUUUUCAGUGAUAUUUGAUUGAAUACAGGUCAAAAAGGAUCUGCAAAGCAUUGCAUUCCGUUUGUAUUCAGGUUUUACACAAUAUCCAAACUUCAUUGGAAUUGAAUUUCACUUCACAACACCUUGAUGGACCAAAGGACCAAUGGUGGUGGAAGGCUCCUCUCUCUUUGCUGCAGGACAGAAAGAUUCAGAGGAUCCUUUGUGCCAACAGCCAUCAGACUGUAUAACUCUUGUGUAAAUAGUAGAUAACUUUUAGAGAUAUAUUAUAUGAGACAACAGACAAUUGAAUUUCCCUUCGGGGAUUAAUAAUGUUCUUCUUAUUCUUCUUAUUAUUUGUAAUUUUGAAAAACAGAGAGCAUAUUUAAGCCCAUAUAGAAGAUGACAAAGUGAGUGUGAGAUAUGACUGAUGUACACUCACCGGCCACUUUAUUAGGUAUACCUGUCCAACUGCUCGUUAACACUUAAUUUCUAAUCAGCCAAUCACAUGGCGGCAACUUAGUGCAUUUAGGCAUGUAGACAUGGUCAAGACAAUCUCCUGCAGUUCAAACCGAGCAUCAGUAUGGGGAAGAAAGGUGAUUUGAGUGACUUUGAACGUGGCAUGGUUGUUGGUGCCAGAAGGGCUGGUCUGAGUAUUUCAGAAACUGCUGAUCUACUGGGAUUUUCACGCACAACCAUCUCUAGGGUUUACAGAGAAUGGUCCGAAAAAGAAAAAAUAUCCAGUGAGCGGCAGUUCUGUGGGCGGAAAUGCCUUGUUGAUGCCAGAGGUCAGAGGAGAAUGGCCAGACUGGUUCGAGCUGAUAGAAAGGCAACAGUGACUCAAAUAACAACCCGUUACAACCAAGGUAGGCAGAAGAGCAUCUCUGAAUGCACAGUACGUCGAACUUUGAGGCAGAUGGGCUACAGCAGCAGAAGACCACACCGGGUGCCACUCCUUUCAGCUAAGAACAGGAAACUGAGGCUACAAUUUGCACAAGCUCAUCGAAAUUGGACAAUAGAAGAUUGGAAAAACGUUGCCUGGUCUGAUGAGUCUCGAUUUCUGCUGCGACAUUCGGAUGGUAGGGUCAGAAUUUGGCGUCAACAACAUGAAAGCAUGGAUCCAUACUGCCUUGUAUCAACGGUUCAGGCUGGUGGUGGUGGUGUCAUGGUGUGGGGAAUAUUUUCUUGGCACUCUUUGGGCCCCUUGGUACCAAUUGAGCAUCGUUGCAACGCCACAGCCUACCUGAGUAUUGUUGCUGACCAUGUCCAUCCCUUUAUGACCACAAUGUACCCAACUUCUGAUGGCUACUUUCAGCAGGAUAAUGUGCCAUGUCAUAAAGCUGGAAUCAUCUCAGACUGGUUUCUUGAACAUGACAAUGAGUUCACUGUACUCAAAUGGCCUCCACAGUCACCAGAUCUCAAUCCAAUAGAGCAUCUUUGGGAUGUGGUGGAACGGGAGAUUCGCAUCAUGGAUGUGCAGCCGACAAAUCUGCGGCAACUGUGUGAUGCCAUCAUGUCAAUAUGGACCAAGCUCUCUGAGGAAUGCUUCCAGCACCCUGUUGAAUCUAUGCCACGAAGAAUUGAGGCAGUUCUGAAGGCAAAAAGGGGUCCAACCCGUUACUAGCAUGGUGUACCUAAUAAAGUGGCCGGUGAGUGUAUAUGAUCUGCAUCUGUGAUUGAAGCAUGCUAUUUAUAUAAUAAAGAAGUCUUGUCCUUCCUCUAGAUGACAGGAAUCUGGCCAGAAUGCAAAUUUAAUGCACUCUGUGUGAAAAAAAAAUGUUAGGAUGAAAUUAGAAUUCUGUGGUUCACACCUACUGAGGUUUCUGAUGUAUACGGCCAACAUUUCAAAGAAAUUCUGCACUGCCAUCUGACUGACUGUCCUUUUGCCAUUGCGAGACUAUCAUCAGAGUGUGAAUGUUAGCAGUGCUUCAAGGAUUAUCUAUAAUACAAGGCUGAACUACUGCUCACAGUAUAAAAUCAUCCAAUUAUGAGCUGCUUUAUAUUGAAGCCCAGCAUGUGGGCACAUUGACCUGGAGAUGUCAGAUCUUUCUUUAUACCCAUUGGUGGAAAACAGUUGGGGUCUCCUGCAGCAUCUGAUUUGACCAACCUUACUUUACAGUGUCAGAAGAGUGCUAGAGUGAAGAAAAGGAUGUUGAAAAGAAGAAAAUAAAGUUGUGCUAAGCAAUGCUCUAUCAGGGGAAGAGUGCUUUAGAGACCCACUCCGAUGAAGAUCGUGUUUUUCUUGUUGUCUUCAUGUUCAUAUGGCAUUUUUUCUGAUGCUACAGGACAUAUCACAAGAAAAGUAAGUGCAAAAUUGCAUUUUGAAGUAUUUCUGCAUUCAAGUGGACAUGAAUCUCUGGCAGACCCAAACGGCAGGCUCAGACACAGCGAGAUUUCCUGCAUUGCAAAUCCAAGCUCUACCCCCAGGAGCCCCGCCAUGCAGGCCACACUCUAAAAUGUAGAGAGAACGUUCGCAGAACAAGCGUGUACAUUAGCAGAUUGCAAUGCUCGUAAGAAAGCUAAUUAUGAUAUUAACUUUCAUCAUGUCCUUAAAGACAUUGGCGUCUGAGAGCUGAAUAGCUCCUAUGUUACCUGCUUCUUCUACCACACCGGCAAUUUUAGGACGCAAGCUAGCAUGAAGAGGAGUGUGCAGAGCUGUUAUGUCUCCGCCCACAACUCAGA
This is a non-coding RNA of Xyrichtys novacula (pearly razorfish), 3284 nucleotides long. The record is from the annotation of a GenBank genome assembly. Lineage: Eukaryota; Metazoa; Chordata; Actinopteri; Labriformes; Labridae.